GAUGAACGCUAGCGGCAGGCCUAAUACAUGCAAGUCGAACGAGAUUAAGAGGCUUGCUUCUUAUGAAAGUGGCGCACGGGUGCGUAACGCGUAUGCAACCUACCUUAAUCAGGGGGAUAGCCCGAAGAAAUUCGGAUUAAGACCGCAUAAAAACACAGGAUAGCAUUAUCCAAUGUUCAAAUAUUUAUAGGAUUAAGAUGGGCAUGCGUGUCAUUAGCUAGUUGGCGGGGUAACGGCCCACCAAGGCGACGAUGACUAGGGGAUCUGAGAGGAUGACCCCCCACACUGGUACUGAGCCACGGACCAGACUCCUACGGGAGGCAGCAGUAAGGAAUAUUGGUCAAUGGAGGGAACUCUGAACCAGCCAUGCCGCGUGCAGGAAGACAGCCCUCUGGGUCGUAAACUGCUUUUAUUCGGGAAUAAACCUUUCUACGUGUAGGAAGCUGAAUGUACCGAAGGAAUAAGGAUCGGCUAACUCCGUG
RNAcentral lists this ribosomal RNA (482 nucleotides) under uncultured bacterium. Its description in RNAcentral is "partial 16S ribosomal RNA". It matches the Rfam family "Bacterial small subunit ribosomal RNA", at positions 28 to 507 of the family's 1533-position model. The record is from RNAcentral.